This 263-nucleotide ribosomal RNA is filed under the name uncultured Eubacteriales bacterium. Its description in RNAcentral is "uncultured Clostridiales bacterium partial 16S ribosomal RNA". It matches the Rfam family "Bacterial small subunit ribosomal RNA", at positions 76 to 339 of the family's 1533-position model. Lineage: Bacteria; Bacillati; Bacillota; Clostridia; Eubacteriales. The record is from RNAcentral.
AUGGAUUUAAAACAGCUUAGUGGCGGACGGGUGAGUAACGCGUGGGUAACCUGCCUCACACUGGGGGAUAACAGUUAGAAAUAGCUGCUAAUACCGCAUAAGCACACAGCAUCGCAUGAUGCAGUGUGAAAAACUCCGGUGGUGUGAGAUGGACCCGCGUCUGAUUAGCCAGUUGGCGGGGCAACGGCCCACCAAAGCGACGAUCAGUAGCCGGCCUGAGAGGGUGAACGGCCACAUUGGGACUGAGACACGGCCCAAACUCC